Molecule: ribosomal RNA, 28 nt
Filed under: Dictyocaulus viviparus bisontis
Lineage: Eukaryota; Metazoa; Nematoda; Chromadorea; Rhabditida; Metastrongylidae
Description: partial 28S ribosomal RNA
Source: RNAcentral
UGCAACCUGAACUCAGAUGUGAUUACCC